RNAcentral lists this non-coding RNA (185 nucleotides) under Zea mays. The record is from RNAcentral. Lineage: Eukaryota; Viridiplantae; Streptophyta; Magnoliopsida; Poales; Poaceae.
GGAAGAAGGUGAAUUCGAGAAUUGCGAAGCUGAGUGCAGACGUCCGAUCCCCGAUCCAUGGCUCCUUUUCUGGCACUUGAGAGAUGUGUGUGUGGUAGACGGUGGCUGUGCGUGGUGGAGAAGCAGGGCACGUGCAUUACCAUCCAAUGCCGCCGGGUGGGUGGGUGGAAUGGAUGGAUGGUUCU